RNAcentral lists this ribosomal RNA (718 nucleotides) under uncultured bacterium. RNAcentral describes it as "bacterial SSU rRNA". It matches the Rfam family "Bacterial small subunit ribosomal RNA", at positions 771 to 1501 of the family's 1533-position model. The record is from RNAcentral.
AACAGGAUUAGAUACCCUGGUAGUCCACGCCCUAAACGAUGAACACUCGAUGUUAGCGAUAUACAGUUAGCGUCUAAGCGAAAGCGUUAAGUGUUCCACCUGGGGAGUACGCCCGCAAGGGUGAAACUCAAAGGAAUUGACGGGGGCCCGCACAAGCGGAGGAGCAUGUGGUUUAAUUCGAUGAUACGCGAGGAACCUUACCCGGGCUUGAAAGUUAGUGAAUGAUUCAGAGACGGAUCAGUCCUUCGGGACACGAAACUAGGUGCUGCAUGGCUGUCGUCAGCUCGUGCCGUGAGGUGUUGGGUUAAGUCCCGCAACGAGCGCAACCCCUAUGUUUAGUUGCCAGCAUGUUAAGAUGGGGACUCUAAACAGACUGCCUACGCAAGUAGAGAGGAAGGAGGGGACGACGUCAAGUCAUCAUGGCCCUUACGUCCGGGGCUACACACGUGCUACAAUGGAUGGUACAGAGGGCAGCUACCUGGCAACAGGAUGCCAAUCUCCGAAAGCCAUUCACAGUUCGGAUCGGGGUCUGCAACUCGACCCCGUGAAGUUGGAUUCGCUAGUAAUCGCGUAUCAGCAAUGACGCGGUGAAUACGUUCCCGGGCCUUGUACACACCGCCCGUCAAGCCAUGGAAGCUGGGGGUACCUGAAGUCGGUAACCGCAAGGAGCCGCCUAGGGUAAAACCGGUAACUGGGGCUAAGUCGUAACAAGGUAACC